This 460-nucleotide ribosomal RNA is filed under the name uncultured bacterium. Its description in RNAcentral is "partial 16S ribosomal RNA". It matches the Rfam family "Bacterial small subunit ribosomal RNA", at positions 338 to 795 of the family's 1533-position model. The record is from RNAcentral.
CCUACGGGUGACAGCAGUGAGGAAUAUUGGUCAAUGGACGCGAGUCUGAACCAGCCAUGCCGCGUGCAGGAAGACGGCUCUAUGAGUUGUAAACUGCUUUUGUACGAGGGUAAACUCAGAUACGCGUGUCUUUCUGUAAGUAUCUUACGAAUAAGGAUCGGCUAACUCCGUGCCAGCAGCCGCGGUAAUACGGAGGAUUCAAGCGUUAUCCGGAUUUAUUGGGUUUAAAGGGUGCGUAGGCGGUCGGAUAAGUUAGAGGUGAAAUCCCGAGGCUCAACUGCGGAAUUGCCUCUGAUACUGUUAGGCUAGAGAGUAGUUGCGGUAGGCGGAAUGUAUGGUGUAGCGGUGAAAUGCUUAGAGAUCACAAAGAACACCGAUUGCGAAGGCAGCUUACCAAGCUACGUCUGACGUUGAGGCACGAAAGCGUGGGGAGCAAACAGGAUUAGAUACCCCAGUAGUC